GAACCUGUGAGUGUGACUUUAUUUGGAAAAAAGGGUCUUUGUAGAUGUCAUUAAGUUAAAGAUCUCUGGAUGAGAUUGGUCUGGGUUAUCUGGGUGGGCCCUAAAUCCAAUGGCAGGUGUCCUUAUAAGAGACAGAAGAGGAGAAGACAGACACAGAGGAGAAGACCAUGUGAAGAUGGAGGCAGAGAUUGGAGUGAUGUGGCCGCAAGCCAAGGAAUGCCUGAAGCUACCAGAAGCUGGGAGAGAUCAUGCUUUUGUUGUUGAAGCCAAGAACUCAUUGCCUAAUUUAAGGUAGCAAGUCAUCAGGAAUGCUUAGCACGUAUGGACCAUUUCACAGAGAGUGUCUGAAACAAGAUAUUUCUUUCUAGCCUCACCUCUGGAUUGGACCGAGCAUGGAUACACUGGGCCAUUACCAUGAUUUAUCAGGAGCUGAUUACCUAGCCAAUCAUUCCCAUCAUUCCCUUACUGAAAUAAACUGAGAAAAAUCAAACUAACCUUCUAUUCACUGGAAGAUAUUCCAAAUGGUGGUUUGCUUCAUGCUUGCACAGAGACUCUGGCUGGGCAGCCCAGAUGAUCACUUUGUGUGAUGUGAUGCCCACAGCUGCCUAGCUGUCUCCAAGGGCCCAAUCAUUUAUCGCUUCUCUUUGGCUGUGUGUGUGUGCAAGCAGGCAGCUGGGGGUGUGUGUGACCCCAGGGCUUCUACAAUAAAUCAGAAUCCCUAAUGCCAGAU
Molecule: long non-coding RNA, 730 nt
Filed under: Homo sapiens (human)
Lineage: Eukaryota; Metazoa; Chordata; Mammalia; Primates; Hominidae
Description: HSALNT0282016
Source: RNAcentral